This 496-nucleotide ribosomal RNA is filed under the name uncultured bacterium. Its description in RNAcentral is "partial 16S ribosomal RNA". It matches the Rfam family "Bacterial small subunit ribosomal RNA", at positions 28 to 507 of the family's 1533-position model. The record is from RNAcentral.
GAUGAACGCUGGCGGCGUGCCUAAUACAUGCAAGUCGAGCGAACGGACGAGAAGCUUGCUUCUCUGAUGUUAGCGGCGGACGGGUGAGUAACACGUGGAUAACCUACCUAUAAGACUGGGAUAACUUCGGGAAACCGGAGCUAAUACCGGAUGAUAUUUUGAACCGCAUGGUUCAAAAGUGAAAGACGGUCUUGCUGUCACUUAUAGAUGGAUCCGCGCUGCAUUAGCUAGUUGGUAAGGUAACGGCUUACCAAGGCAACGAUGCAUAGCCGACCUGAGAGGGUGAUCGGCCACACUGGAACUGAGACACGGUCCAGACUCCUACGGGAGGCAGCAGUAGGGAAUCUUCGGCAAUGGGCGAAAGCCUGACGGAGCAACGCCGCGUGAGUGAUGAAGGUCUUCGGAUCGUAAAACUCUGUUAUAGGGAAGAACAUAUGUGUAAGUAACUGUGCACAUCUUGACGGUACCUAAUCAGAAAGCCACGGCUAACUACGUG